RNAcentral lists this ribosomal RNA (459 nucleotides) under uncultured bacterium. RNAcentral describes it as "partial 16S ribosomal RNA". It matches the Rfam family "Bacterial small subunit ribosomal RNA", at positions 338 to 795 of the family's 1533-position model. The record is from RNAcentral.
CCUACGGGAGGCAGCAGUGAGGAAUAUUGGUCAAUGGCCGGAAGGCUGAACCAGCCAAGCCGCGUGCAGGACGAAGGUGCCAAGCAUUGUAAACUUCUUUUGUCAAGGGACAAAAUCAGGCUCGAGAGCCUGACCGCGGGUACUUGAAGAAAAAGCAUCGGCUAACUCCGUGCCAGCAGCCGCGGUAAUACGGAGGAUGCGAGCGUUAUCCGGAUUUAUUGGGUUUAAAGGGUGCGUAGGCGGACUGUUAAGUCAGCGGUAAAAGCCCGGGGCUCAACCCCGGCGAGCCGUGGAAACUGGCGGUCUUGAGAGGUCGGGAGGUAGGCGGAAUGCGCAGUGUAGCGGUGAAAUGCUGAGAUAUGGCGCAGAACUCCGAUUGCGAAGGCAGCAUACCGGCGGCGAUCUGACGCUGAGGCACGAAAGCGUGGGUAUCGAACAGGAUUAGAUACCCUAGUAGUC